Molecule: unclassified non-coding RNA, 329 nt
Filed under: soil metagenome
Description: partial contains 5.8S ribosomal RNA, internal transcribed spacer 2, and large subunit ribosomal RNA
Rfam family: 5.8S ribosomal RNA (bases 1-120)
Source: RNAcentral
GAUGAAUAACGUAGUGAAAUGCGAUAAGUAAUGUGAAUUGCAGAAUUCAGUGAAUCAUCGAAUCUUUGAACGCACAUUGCGCCCCCUGGUAUUCCGGGGGGCAUGCCUGUCCGAGCGUCAUUACAACCCUCAAGCUCAGCUUGGUGUUGGGCCCCGCCGCCCCGGCGGGCCCUAAAGUCAGUGGCGGUGCCGUCCGGCUCCGAGCGUAGUAAUUCUUCUCGCUCUGGAGGUCCGGUCGUGUGCUCGCCAGCAACCCCCAAUUUUUUUCAGGUUGACCUCGGAUCAGGUAGGGAUACCCGCUGAACUUAAGCAUAUCAAUAAGCGGAGGA